GAUGAAGGACGUAGUGAAAUGCGAUAAGUAAUGUGAAUUGCAGAAUUCAGUGAAUCAUCGAAUCUUUGAACGCACAUUGCGCCCUUUGGCAUUCCGAAGGGCACACCUGUCCGAGCGCCGUCGCACAACUGAGGCGCAGCCUUGCGUUGGCGGGCGACUUGUGAGUAGCGAGUCGCCGCCCAAACGAGACGGCGCCGCGCCGCGGCCGACGAAGCACGAAAGCGGAAGUCGACGCGGAGGCGGUUGCCUGUAGGAAGACACAGCUUGGCCUCGGAUCAGGUGGGGAUACCCGCUGAACUUAAGCAUAUCAAUAAGCGGAGGA
This 322-nucleotide unclassified non-coding RNA is filed under the name soil metagenome. Its description in RNAcentral is "partial contains 5.8S ribosomal RNA, internal transcribed spacer 2, and large subunit ribosomal RNA". The stretch from base 1 to 120 matches the Rfam family "5.8S ribosomal RNA", at positions 35 to 154 of the family's 154-position model. The record is from RNAcentral.